RNAcentral lists this ribosomal RNA (406 nucleotides) under uncultured bacterium. RNAcentral's name for it is "partial 16S ribosomal RNA". It matches the Rfam family "Bacterial small subunit ribosomal RNA", at positions 30 to 526 of the family's 1533-position model. The record is from RNAcentral.
AUUGAACGCUGGCGGCAGGCCUAACACAUGCAAGUCGAACGAGUGGCGGACGGGUGAGUAAUGUCUGGGAAACUGCCUGAUGGAGGGGGAUAACUACUGGAAACGGUAGCUAAUACCGCAUACCAUCAGAUGUGCCCAGAUGGGUGUAUCUUGUUGGUGGGGUAACGGCUCACCAAGGCGACGAUCCCUAGCUGGUCUGAGAGGAUGACCAGCCACAAUGGAACUGAGAAACGGUCCAGACUCCUACGGGAGGCAGCAGUGGGUAAUAUUGGACAAUGGGCGAAAGACUGAUGCAGCCAUGCCGCGUGUGUGAAGAAGGCCUUCGGGUUGGAAAGUACUUUAAGCGGGGAGGCGGUACCAGCAGAAGAAGCACCGGCUAACUCCGUGCCAGCAGCCGCGGUAAUAC